Molecule: ribosomal RNA, 253 nt
Filed under: uncultured bacterium
Lineage: Bacteria
Description: partial 16S ribosomal RNA
Rfam family: Bacterial small subunit ribosomal RNA
Source: RNAcentral
UACGGAGGGUGCGACCGUUACCCGGAAUGAUUGGGCGUAAAGGGUCCGUAGGUGGUGAUGUAUGUCUAUUGUCAAAGGUUCUGGCUUAACCAGAGACAGGCAGUAGAAACUGCAAAACUAGAGUGCAGUCGGGGCAGGGGGAAUUCCUGGUGUAGCGGUGAAAUGCGUAGAGUUCAGGAAGAACACCGGUGGCGAAAGCGCCCUGCUAGGCUGUGACUGACACUGAGGGACGAAAGCUAGGGGAGCGAAUGGG